RNAcentral lists this ribosomal RNA (471 nucleotides) under uncultured Alphaproteobacteria bacterium. RNAcentral's name for it is "bacterial SSU rRNA". It matches the Rfam family "Bacterial small subunit ribosomal RNA", at positions 9 to 524 of the family's 1533-position model. Lineage: Bacteria; Pseudomonadati; Pseudomonadota; Alphaproteobacteria. The record is from RNAcentral.
GAGUUUGAUCCUGGCUCAGAGCGAACGCUGGCGGCAGGCCUAACACAUGCAAGUCGAGCGGAUGUAGCAAUACAUCAGCGGCAGACGGGAGAGUAACACGUGGGAACGUGCCCUUUGGUUCGGAAUAACUCGGCGAAAGCCGUGCUAAUACCGGAUAAGCCCUUACGGGGAAAGAUUUAUCGCCAUUGGAGCGGCCCGCGUCUGAUUAGCUAGUUGGUGAGGUAAUGGCUCACCAAGGCGACGAUCAGUAGCUGGUCUGAGAGGAUGAUCAGCCUCACUGGGACUGAGACACGGCCCAGACUCCUACGGGAGGCAGCAGUGGGGAAUAUUGGACAAUGGGCGCAAGCCUGAUCCAGCCAUGCCGCGUGGAUGAUGAAGGCCUUAGGGUUGUAAAGUCCUUUUAACGGGGAAGAUAAUGACGGUACCCGUAGAAUAAGCCCCGGCUAACUUCGUGCCAGCCGCCGCCGUAAC